RNAcentral lists this unclassified non-coding RNA (357 nucleotides) under Lactifluus sp. Its description in RNAcentral is "partial contains 5.8S ribosomal RNA, internal transcribed spacer 2, and large subunit ribosomal RNA". The stretch from base 1 to 71 matches the Rfam family "5.8S ribosomal RNA", at positions 84 to 154 of the family's 154-position model. The record is from RNAcentral. Lineage: Eukaryota; Fungi; Basidiomycota; Agaricomycetes; Russulales; Russulaceae.
GUGAGUCAUCGAAUCUUUGAACGCAUCUUGCGCCCCUUGGCAUUCCGAGGGGCACACCCGUUUGAGUGUCAUGAAACUCUCAACCGUUCUCCCUUUCUUGUCGAACCGGGAAGGAUGGCUUGGAACUUUGGAGGCUUCUGCCGGUUCCCAUCGGCUCCUCUUAAAAGAAUUAGUAGGGUCUCAUUUGCCGAUCCCUUGACGUGAUAAUGUUUGACGUCAUUUUGAGAGGCAGAGACCUUGCUUCCAAUGGUCUCGUCAAGGGACACCAGUGAGAUCAAAGAUCCCACUAAAACCCCCCAUUGACCUCAAAUCGGGUGAGACUACCCGCUGAACUUAAGCAUAUCAAUAAGCGGAGGA